GGAAUCUUGCGCAAUGGGGGAAACCCUGACGCAGCGACGCCGCGUGAGCGAUGAAGGCCUUCGGGUUGUAAAGCUCUGUGGGGAGAGAAGAAUAAGCAUGGACUAAUACUCCAUGUGAUGACGGUAUCUCCUUAGCAAGCACCGGCUAACUCUGUGCCAGCAGCCGCGGUAAGACAGAGGGUGCAAACGGUGUUCGGAAUUACUGGGCGUAAAGCGCGUGUAGGCGGCCAGGCAAGUCGGAUGUGAAAUCCCAGGGCUCAACCCUGGAAGUGCACUCGAAACUGCUUGGCUAGAGUUCUGGAGAGGAAGGUGGAAUGCUUGGUGUAGAGGUGAAAUUCGUAGAUAUCAAGCGGAACACCGGUGGCGAAGGCGGCCUUGUGGACAGUGACUGACGCUGAGACGCGAAAGCGUGGGGAGCA
This 419-nucleotide ribosomal RNA is filed under the name uncultured bacterium. Its description in RNAcentral is "bacterial SSU rRNA". It matches the Rfam family "Bacterial small subunit ribosomal RNA", at positions 358 to 770 of the family's 1533-position model. The record is from RNAcentral.